CCGCUGAGUGAGGAGGAGAGAGAGACAGAGAGCCUGCUUGCUAAAUAACAGCAAAGAUUUUUCAAGCAGGCCCUCUGUCUCUCUCUCCUCCCCACUCGCUAAAU
This 104-nucleotide microRNA precursor is filed under the name Podarcis lilfordi (Lilford's wall lizard). Lineage: Eukaryota; Metazoa; Chordata; Lepidosauria; Squamata; Lacertidae. The record is from RNAcentral.